UUGACUUUACCUCACACCUAUCGUCCAAAGCAACACCAAAAGGUAAAAGUUGAAAAUCAAUUUCCUUUCUUCCCACUUACCCGUCGAUCUACACCCAAGGAAAAUGGAAAACUUCAUCUUCCUCUCCAAGCAAGCCAUAGCCAACCUUCACCUAUUUCCUUCCUCUUCUCCUUCCAUCUUCAAGAAAGCAAGUUCAUCUCAUCACCUUCAAGCCUUAUGACUCCAUAGCAAGGGAAGAAGAAAAAUAUUUUCUCUCAUCCUCUUCAAGCCAUACGAGUAUACUCCCUCCCUACUCAUUUUCGGGUUUUGCCUCAAACCUUGGAACUAAAAUUUGAUUUCAUCUUCUAAAUGGUGAAAUAUUGAAGUGAUAUUGUGUUGCUCUUCUUCCACACGGGUUUACCACUAUUUGGUCAUCUAUCUUGCCUCUUAAAAGGGGUUAAGAGCUUAAGGAAUAUUGAUGAAUGAAAGUAUCGAGGAGCAUAGAGGUAAUGAUGAAAAGGCUGGGGAGCAAGGCAUUACUGUAGAGGGAGAGGCAGACACUUAGGACCUUCCCUAACGAGGACAGUUUUGUUACGAAUGAUGAGUUAUGUUAUGUAUAGAUAUUUUAAUUUGGGAUGGACUCUGAGAGUCUCUUAUGGUUGAAUGUUCGAAUAGAAUGUCCAUUAGGUGUUCCCUUUUAUUAAAUGAAAAAUUUAGAGUGCACGUGUGUCAUGUCCAUGCUGAUCACAUGUUAUUAGAAAAAGAAAGAAAAUAAUAGUCAUGUAAGUCAGGAUUCCUUCCUUCCUGGGACGAGGUUGUGACACACCGGCAACCACCUCUCGUAGACCUAGCCACCACGAACCUCCCUCUCCCUUUCCGUCACACACACGCAAGCUACCCAUAAAUGGUGGGUCUCGCACGAGCUCAGGGUGGGGGGGAGGACGGGCGACGGGGGAGGAGAGAGAGGAAUUUCAAAAUUCAAAAAUGAAAUGUGUGAAAUGAGAGGGAAGUGGGAUUUGUUGUGAGAAUGUUCUUGUCAUUUUAUUAUAGUGUGUGUUGGACAAUC
Long non-coding RNA from Juglans regia (Persian walnut), 1045 nucleotides. RefSeq lists it as uncharacterized. NCBI's taxonomy places the organism in Eukaryota, Viridiplantae, Streptophyta, Magnoliopsida, Fagales, Juglandaceae. The transcript has 4 exons. The record is from RefSeq and is a predicted model, not a curated record.